This is a long non-coding RNA of Cebus imitator (Panamanian white-faced capuchin), 3946 nucleotides long. RefSeq lists it as uncharacterized. The transcript is spliced from 2 exons. The record is from RefSeq and is a predicted model, not a curated record. NCBI's taxonomy places the organism in Eukaryota, Metazoa, Chordata, Mammalia, Primates, Cebidae.
AAAAAAAAAUGAAUAUGAUUAGCAAGUUUUCUAAAUAAUUCCAUUGUAUUUAGGAUAAAAUAAUACAAAUUGAAGCCAAAAAGUUUAGACUGAGAACUAUAAUCAGGACUAUACUUUCAAUUUACACUAAUCUAUCAUAUUUCAUAGGUUCAAAGUUCAAUGUACAUAUUAGUUUGCUCAAUUGAGUGAUUUUCCAUUUUAGCUUAACUUAAAAUAGCCCUUAAUUGAUCACCUGUGUGGCUUCUCAUUUCUGAAAAGGUUCCAAUUCGAGAUAUAUUUUUGGCCAAGUGCAGUGGCUCAGGCCUGUAAACCCAACUACUCCAGAGGCUGAGGCACGAGAAUCACUUGAACCUGAUUGAAGGCAGAGAUUGAAGUGAGGUGAGAUUGCGCCACUGCACUCCAGCGUGGGUGACAGAGCAAAACAUUGUCUCAAAAAAAAAAAAAAGAUACAUUUUGACAAAAUACAAAACUGAAAAGUUUUAUAUGAACAUUUAACAUUACCAUUCUCAUUAUGUAUCUAUGUACUUAGUAUCCUCACCUCGGCUUAAAAAAAAAAAACAACUAAAAAUAGUACGCUGAUGUUAUCAGCUACAAAGAAAAUUAAUGAUGUAUUCCAUACUGAAUCACAAAAAGCAUACAAUUUGGAUUAAGAUGACCUAAAUAUGAUUCCUGUCUUCUCCACUUUUUAUAUAACUUUAAACAAGCUAUUUUAACUUUCCCAAUCUGUUUUAUCAUUGAUUAAUGGGGAUAAUAUCACCUACCUCACUGCAGAGAUGUAAAGAAACCAAGCAUAUGGUACAAUUCACCACUUUCUGAGCACAGUAAAUGCUAUCAUAAAGACAGGGGAAUCUUCCAUAGCAGUUUAUCAGUACACAUUUUGAGACCUAACAUAAAUUAAAUCACAUCUCCUAAAAGCUGCUGAUCCAAGUCAGCAAGGUCUAGGAGAAGUAAUAAAAAGGAAGUCCCAUACUAAUUUUUAGUAGCCAAUAUUGAGUGAAAUUUUAUAUCUAAAAUACAUCAAAAUAGGACUAUUUUAAGAGGCAUAGAAGGCUUGUUUAAAAAACGAAAAGAAAAAAAGCUAAGGUAAAGCAAAAAAUAAUAAUCAUUUUCAGUUUACUGACAACAUUCAGACAAAGAAGUACAAUAGUAUGUUUUAAAAUCUAUCAAAAGAGCUGAAAACUACUUGAAAGGCAGCUGAGCAAAAUGGUCAGAGCUCUCUACUGAGAGAAGAUGAGAUUAUAGUUUCAACUGUCACUAAUAUUUAAUAAUUGACCUUAGACAAGAGUCUCCGGGCUUCAGUUUCCUAAUCUUUAAACGACUACUAAAAACUAUAGCGAAAAUUUAAGUACAAUUUAAUCUGGGCCUUACUUUGGAGAGGCAAUCUAGAGAAGAAGUUAAUAGAAUGGGCUAGGUAGCAACUGUCAAGGUUGGAAUCCUGGUUUUGCCACUUAGAAGCUGUGCAGUGUUCACACAAAAAACACUAAAGUACAGUUUACUUAAUACUAUCACUGAUUUACUGCUUAAAAUAUUUCUCUAAAACACAAAAUUGCAUUAAAAUACAGAAGCUAGGAAAGUUGUGUCUUUCCAAAUCAUUUCACUGGCAGACAACGGAGCAGUUCAUUUUAAAGUAUUAAAACUCUAAAACAUGCUAACAUAAGCCAAGUUUAAUCAAAAGAUCAUCUAAUACUACACAUUAGAGACUAAACACGUAUUAUAAGGCUAAUUGUUCCCACCACCAUAUCACACUUAGGGUAAAAAUGGAACUUCUGCUACUUGUUAAGUCUUUUUUCUAAUCUAUUACUGCUAAUCACAACACAAGCUUAUAAUAUAACCAUAAUUUCCAAGAAUGAAAUUAACUCCAAGAACGAAAAAUCUGUAUAAUUUAGAAAUAUAAAGCGAACUUCAAACAACUAAAAAUACGUAGUGCAGAAGUUACAACCGGUCAGUAAGUAUUUAGUAUAUGCCAGGCUCUGUGCUUAGAUUAGGUACAAACAGCAAAGUAUAAAGUUCCUCAAACUUAGUCAAGUUACAAGGACUUGAAAUUUCAGGCAGGUGCAUGCUUUAUCAUCACUUGCCAGAAAAUAAAAGCCACUCACCUACAAAUGUUUUUAUUUCCUUUUUGGCCCACGUAAGAAUAGUGCCCAAUGCCCACUAAAACUGCUUCGUAUUCAGUUCAGCCCACAAAAAUGCCCAAACCAGUCAGUUCCUCACGUCAGGAUCCUCACAGUACUUAAAAGUGAACGGCUUCGAAAAAGGUAUUUCAUCAAAUCACAAGCUUCCGUAUUUUAAGUUCAGUGACACCUAACACCUGCAGAUACUACUAAACAUAACUGGGCUAACCUGAGUCAAGUACCUAGUUGCACCAAUUUAGUUCUUCCCUUUAAAGUGCUGCCAGUAAAGGCAAACUCUACUUCUUCAAAAAGUCGGCUUUUUGAAAUGCCCAUUAGGCACAGAAAAGGGAAAUUGAUUGGUUCGUCACAGUUGCCCUACUUCUAUUUCAGGUCCAAGGAACAAAACUAUUCCACAGAGAGUAGCAAGGGGGCCACACGCAAAUCUAGGAGGCAGAUGCUAAACCGAACUUUGUCGAUGACCACGAUUUAAGCUAAAGGUAAACACUGGCCACCGUCGCCGCUUACCUCAGUUAACAUUAUUACACCCCGGGGAAGUGAGGUCCUCCCUAGCCUCGCCUCAUGGCAACAGCCGUAGCAGCAGCGAAAACUGCUCGGGCCGCCGCCAACGGCGGCAACUGCUCCUUCAGUCCUCUCCGGGGCGGCUGCUUUACUCGGCUUUGCUGACUUCCCCCCGGCCCGGUCGCUCGCGACGGACGCGCCGCCAUCUUGGAAGAGCGACGUCCGCGUCUCCCUGCAACGUGCACUCCCAUUGGCGGGCUCAGGGGCUGCCAGCGACUCGUGACCGUCUCCAUAGCGCCGGCGCGCGGAGAAGUGGAGGCGGGCUCUAGGCUGUCGGCUCUGCGCUGGCGGGGAGGACCCCGGGACUGGGCGCCUGGGCCAACUUGGGACCACUGGGAGUGCCGAGAGACCACAGCACCAGAGCCUCCACUGCACCGACGCACAGGCCCGCCAGGCCGGCGCAUCUUCCGCCGCCCACUAGGGUUGGCCGGCCCUGGGAGGGGAGAGAAUGGCAGAGGCCUGCACUUCGACUGAUGGCGUUGCGGACCUCACUGCUUUCGGGGGACAAGGCGGCAGAUUUCCCGUAGAGGAACUUCCCUCUCGCAUCUCCCUGGCCCCGCGGCGACUGAAGAGUACUCUUGGGGUUCGGCUUUCUUCUGCGAUUUAAGUAUUAUUUGAAACAGCUCCCUGCGCGGCCCUUUUCUCCUAAACUUUGACAGAAACUUUGCUUUGUCCCUACCAAUCCUCAGUGAGUUCUUUAGAGGGGUCCGAGACAGUUUGUAGAUAACGAUACGCGUUUAUUGGCUUUACCCUGUCCUAGCAAAGUUAGGACUGUGGCUGACGUGAUUGGCCCGCACCUCCCUAACAGCCUAACAAUGGAGGUUUAAUUAUGCUACUAUAGUAAGACACCUCUAAAAAAAAAAAAAAAAAAAAAAAAAAAAAAAAAAAAAAAAAAAAAAAAAAAAAAAAAAAAAAAAAAAAAAAAAGUAAAACAGGCUUUACGUUUUACCUGCUAUCUCUACGGGUUUACUGGCUUCUUAAUACAAUAUGCUUGUGUAGCAAGGUGAGCAAAUUUCAGCAAAUGUCAUUGUAAAUAGUCCCAGCCUAAAUGGAAUUGAACUCUGGAACCAAUGUGCAUAGAAGUCCCUGAGCUGACGCCAUUCUAGAUCUACCACUAGAUGGUUUGCGAUGUAUGGAAUUUAAAGGCAGUCACUUCUACCUGAAUUGUGAUGAAAGUAGUGUGCCUGAACACGCUGGGAAAGUGUGCUACCCUGUUUUAUAUUAGAAACCGGUUUCCAAGGAAAUUGAAAAGUAAA